RNAcentral lists this transfer RNA (76 nucleotides) under Rhodoplanes sp. Its description in RNAcentral is "tRNA-Lys". It matches the Rfam family "tRNA". From Rfam's summary of the family: Transfer RNA (tRNA) molecules are approximately 80 nucleotides in length. Their secondary structure includes four short double-helical elements and three loops (D, anti-codon, and T loops). The record is from RNAcentral. Lineage: Bacteria; Pseudomonadati; Pseudomonadota; Alphaproteobacteria; Hyphomicrobiales; Nitrobacteraceae.
GAGCCCGUAGCUCAGUCGGUAGAGCACGUGACUUUUAAUCAUGGGGUCCCGGGUUCGAGUCCCGGCGGGCUCGCCA